CGGAGGGUGCAAGCGUUAUCCGGAUUCACUGGGUUUAAAGGGUGCGUAGGUGGCUUUGUAAGUCAGUGGUGAAAUCUCGGAGCUUAACUCCGAAACUGCCAUUGAUACUGCUUAGCUUGAAUCAAGUAGAGGUGGAUGGAAUAUUACAUGUAGCGGUGAAAUGCUUAGAUAUGUAAUAGAACACCGAUUGCGAAGGCAGUUCACUAUGCUUGUAUUGACACUGAGGCACGAAAGCGUGGGGAUCAAACAGGAUUAGAUACCCUGGUAGUCCACGCCCUAAACGAUGUAAACUCGACAUUAGCGAUACACAGUUAGUGUCCAAGGGAAACCGUUAAGUUUACCACCUGGGAAGUACGACCGCAAGGUUG
This 368-nucleotide ribosomal RNA is filed under the name uncultured organism. RNAcentral describes it as "bacterial SSU rRNA". It matches the Rfam family "Bacterial small subunit ribosomal RNA", at positions 526 to 896 of the family's 1533-position model. The record is from RNAcentral.